GAUGAAGAACGUAGCGAAAUGCGAUAAGUAAUGCGAAUUGCAGAAUUUCCGUGAGUCAUCGAAUCCUUGAACGCACAUUGCGCCCACUGGUAUUCCGGUGGGCAUGCCUGUUCGAGCGUCAUUAUCCUCCCUCAAACCCCGGGUUUGGUGUUGGACCCAAGUUGUGUGAACAACUGGUCUCAAAGACAAUGACGGCGUCCGUGGGACCCUCGGUGCAACGAGCUUUUAGGAGCACGCAUCGAGUUGCAAGGACCUUCCGGGCCGGUCUCCUUUACCAUUUUACAAGGUUGACCUCGGAUCAGGUAGGAAUACCCGCUGAACUUAAGCAUAUCAAUAAGCGGAGGA
RNAcentral lists this unclassified non-coding RNA (345 nucleotides) under soil metagenome. Its description in RNAcentral is "partial contains 5.8S ribosomal RNA, internal transcribed spacer 2, and large subunit ribosomal RNA". The stretch from base 1 to 121 matches the Rfam family "5.8S ribosomal RNA", at positions 35 to 154 of the family's 154-position model. The record is from RNAcentral.